This 1261-nucleotide small RNA is filed under the name Arabidopsis thaliana (thale cress). RNAcentral describes it as "ATSL212230". Lineage: Eukaryota; Viridiplantae; Streptophyta; Magnoliopsida; Brassicales; Brassicaceae. The record is from RNAcentral.
CAUACAAAAUGUUAUACCAUCCUCUAUUCAUUGGUCUAUGUUAAUGACAUAAUCAUCACAUGAAACAAUUUGGAUGCAUUUGAAAAUAUUUUACAAAAUCUAGCUAUCAGUUUUCACUUAAAGACUUGGGUGAGUAAAUAUUGAAGAAUAACUUACAAAUUGAUUCUAUCAAUCACAAAUCGCAAACCUGAAUGCUUUCGGUUGAACAAAUCUCGUGCAGUUACUAGUGUUCCUCCUCUACCAAAAUGACCAAGAUGAUAUAGCAUCCUACGAUAUGAACUAAGAAACCCAGUCUUGGUGGGAUAUCCGAAAUCAACAAGAUAGUACUUCCCACUAGGCGGAUGUGGGAAAAAGGUUCAUUCCUCGCACAAUGAUUCAAAACUUUUGUAUCAUGUGCUCUACAAGAUAUACUGACAUAUGCAUAUAUGAAUUUCAUAUCGAAGUUACAUAUAGCAAGAACAUUCAUUAUAUGUUCUAUCUUUCUAUAUUUAUAUUUUUCUACAGAUUGACUUAGACGGCGAACCGGGACAUAAGUUCCAUCAAGUGCUCCAACACAAUCUCUAAAAACAGGCCAAUAUCAAUCAUCAUUCUUCUAAACAGGGUUUACUCUCGUAAAUUCACCUUCUUGUGGCUUUAGUGUAUCCACUACAAACUUUAAAAGAGCACUCAAAACAUCAUCAAUCUUUUUUUUUUUUACCGUAUUCAAUGACCGUUGAUAUCUUGUAACUAUAUCUCAAACAGUUUUAUCCUGACCAACCACCUCGAAAAGUAUUAGUGAUUUCUACCUAUAUAGUGAAGAAGACCGUAAGUAUUAGUUCCAAACAUUUAGACCCAUUAUAUAGAAACAGACAUAGAAUUUGGAAAUUUUGAAUAAACCGAUCAAGCUGAGAGUAACUAAGAGAACACAAAUAAAUAAGAAACUCAAAAUAUUUAAGAGAUUUCAGUCAGUGAAUAACGAAAGUACCUCGGAGUAGAGAUUCAACGUUGUAUUAGAAGUAACCAACGACGGGAGAUCUAGUUGAGCUCAAGUCACCGGAUAAUAUUUCGCAAGAUUGCGGCGGCGGAGAGAGAUUGGUUUCAAAGAGUUUGAGAUCGAUGAGUGUAAGAGAGAAAUGAUGAAAAAGAAGUAGAAGAAAUAGAGUUAGGUUUGUUUGUAGUUUCUCAAACAUAAUAAGGGUAUAAUUGUCAUUUAUCAUAUAUAAUACAACUUUUAAGCGUUGACCGCAGCAUUAUGCCGCACUUACUUGCAUCUGCCGCUGUU